Long non-coding RNA from Acanthopagrus latus (yellowfin seabream), 1229 nucleotides. RefSeq lists it as uncharacterized. The transcript has 4 exons. The record is from RefSeq and is a predicted model, not a curated record. NCBI's taxonomy places the organism in Eukaryota, Metazoa, Chordata, Actinopteri, Spariformes, Sparidae.
AGCAGGUGUUACUAUUGAUAUGAAUUUCAUUAAUAAAGGCCACCACAUGCUGGCUCACUGUCACACUCUUUAAUAGAAUAGGAGUCGUCAAUAAAAUUCCCCUGCAAAAACUCAAAACUGUGUGAAAAAGUGUCAUUAGCACCUCAGUUUCACAGCUGUAUGAAUGUGAUAGUUUCCCACAGCAAAAUAGUGUUUGGUCAUUAUGUUAUUUUCUUUUUGUCUCUAACUUUUGCCAUCUUUUUUCCACUAGAACAACCUUCAAGAGAUGUUAAAACAAGAUGAUGACCGGCAGUUCUUGGUGAGAGUUUUUGUAGAUAAGGGUUAGGUAAUUCCUUCAUAGUAGAUAGCUGAGCAACUAGUGGAACAUUUGAUAGUAGAGAGAUAAGCAUCAUCCUUUGAGUCCUUAUUUGGUGUCUUCCUUUGCUGACGUUUCUAUAUGUGGUCUCUAAGUGUUACCGCGAUGACGAUAUAAAAGUACACUUUAAAGUGUUUAGGGUAUUCACAUUUUCUGCUCAACCGUGACAGUGCUGGCUCACAGUCUCUUCCAACGACAUGAAUAACUUCAAUAUUCAAAGUCUUGUAGUCACAGCAGUGAUUGUGAUGGUCUACGCAGCACCAGUCGAGCCUCCUAACAACACAACUCUGCUGGGUCACAUUCAUGACGACGCAGAAACAUUGUUGCUGAAAGGGUUGACUUUCCAAGCUCCAAGGCCACCAAGAAUAGACGACACAACAUGUGUGAAGGAGUUCUUCUGUUUUGCUGAAAAGUCCCUGGAAAAAGUAAAGUCUUCAGCCAAAUCAAACCUUACCCACCUUACCCAUCACUUGCAUAAGUACAACAAGUAUAUGAAUCUCACCUGUCACCCAACAUUUGACGGCACAUUUCCUGGAAGAGAUCUUCUGAAUUUGAUUAUGAAAUGUGCUGCACCGUGAACAUUCCUGGAAAACAGGAGCAGUCAAGAGUUAUUACAAGUGAUCAUAUGUAUCACUUAAGUAGCAUAUACAUAAGUUAUUACUAUUUAUUGUAAAAUGUCUAAUUUAUUUUCUAAGAUCUUAUUUUUGUAGCAUUUGUAUUUAUACCUCAAUAAAUUAUAAUGUGACAGCAGAUUUGUUGUUCAAGCUUCUUAUUAAACACCUGUUCACAAUGUUCCAGGUAUCUGUCCAAUCAACCAGUAACAGCUAAAGAACGAGAGUUUUGGAUACAAGACUGCUUUUUUAAAGAUACGUAU